RNAcentral lists this transfer RNA (359 nucleotides) under uncultured Microcystis sp. RNAcentral describes it as "partial miscellaneous RNA". The stretch from base 135 to 208 matches the Rfam family "tRNA". Lineage: Bacteria; Bacillati; Cyanobacteriota; Cyanophyceae; Chroococcales; Microcystaceae. The record is from RNAcentral.
AAGGGAGACCUAAUUCAGGUAGGAGACGAAAAAAAAGUAGUCGCUACCAAGAGUCAAUCCCAAAAGGUCGGAGCGAGGCGAAAUUGGCUUUCAAACUAGGUUCUGGGUUCAAACAAGACCUGAAUCAGGAACAAGGGCUAUUAGCUCAGGUGGUUAGAGCGCACCCCUGAUAAGGGUGAGGUCCCUGGUUCGAGUCCAGGAUGGCCCACCUGCACAGGUGGCAAAAACAAGAGAAGCGAGGAAUCAGCACCUUAUCUUACUUAUAUAGUAAGAGAGAAUGCUGGCUCUGAGUAAAGAGUCCAGAGGAACCUUGAAAACUGCAUAGAGCUAGGUGAAAAAGCCAAAAAAGAAGACCGCAA